UCAAAGGAUGUUGUGACAGGUGAAGUGGGU
RNAcentral lists this non-coding RNA (30 nucleotides) under Mus musculus (house mouse). The record is from RNAcentral. Lineage: Eukaryota; Metazoa; Chordata; Mammalia; Rodentia; Muridae.